Molecule: ribosomal RNA, 484 nt
Filed under: uncultured bacterium
Lineage: Bacteria
Description: partial 16S ribosomal RNA
Rfam family: Bacterial small subunit ribosomal RNA
Source: RNAcentral
AUUGAACGCUGGCGGCAGGCCUAACACAUGCAAGUCGAGCGGAUGAAGGGAGCUUGCUCCUGGAUUCAGCGGCGGACGGGUGAGUAAUGCCUAGGAAUCUGCCUGGUAGUGGGGGAUAACGUCCGGAAACGGGCGCUAAUACCGCAUACGUCCUGAGGGGGAAAUGGGGGGUUGUUGGGACUUCUGCCUAUCGUUGGACCGUAGGCCGGGUUGGUUGGUUGGUGGGGUAAGGGCCGACAAAGGCGAGGAUCGGUAACUGGCCUGAGAGGAUGAUCAGUCACACGGGAACUGAGACACGGUCCAGACUCCUACGGGAGGCAGCAGUGGGGAAUAUUGGACAAUGGGCGAAAGCCUGAUCCAGCCAGGCCGCGUGUGUGGAGAAGGUCUUCGGAUUGUAAAGCACCUUAAGUUGGGAGGAAGGGCAGUAAGUUAAUACCUUGCUGUUUUGACGUUACCAACAGAAUAAGCACCGGCUAACUUCGUG